This 292-nucleotide ribosomal RNA is filed under the name uncultured bacterium. Its description in RNAcentral is "partial 16S ribosomal RNA". It matches the Rfam family "Bacterial small subunit ribosomal RNA", at positions 505 to 796 of the family's 1533-position model. The record is from RNAcentral.
GUGUCAGCAGCCGCGGUAAUACGGAGGUUGCAAGCGUUAUCCGGAUUUAUUGGGUUUAAAGGGUGCGUAGGCGGGGAAAUAAGUCAGUGGUGAAAUCCUGCAGCUUAACUGUAGAACUGCCAUUGAUACUGUUUUUCUUGAGUCUAGUUGAGGUGGGCGGAAUGUGUAAUGUAGCGGUGAAAUGCUUAGAUAUUACACAGAACACCGAUUGCGUAGGCAGCUCACUAAACUAUAACUGACGCUGAGGCACGAAAGCGUGGGGAGCAAACAGGAUUAGAUACCCCCGUAGUCC